RNAcentral lists this unclassified non-coding RNA (258 nucleotides) under Hevea brasiliensis (rubber tree). Lineage: Eukaryota; Viridiplantae; Streptophyta; Magnoliopsida; Malpighiales; Euphorbiaceae. The record is from RNAcentral.
AUGAUACCACCCUACAACUUCUUAAGGCAAUUAAGUUUUCAACACUUCGAAUAAUUAAAGACUCCCCCACUGAUAAAGUAUACACUCACCAUAGAUCAGCUCAAGAACUAGGCAUGACAUAAAAGUAACAAUUAGGAGAGAAGAAUUUUUAAAUCUUUAUAGGUUCUGAGAAGCCAUUCUCUCUUAUCAAGUUAUACGAGAACACUGAGGUCUUUCUGAUUCAAAGCAUGAAUCCAUCAGAAAAGGUAAAACUAACCC